AAACGUAGGGGGCCAGCGUUGUCCGGAAUUACUGGGCGUAAAGCGCGCGCAGGCGGUCUAGUAAGCAGUGGGUGAAAUUCCAGGGCUCAACCCUGGGGCUGCUCGCUGAACUGCUAGACUAGAGUACGGGAGAGGGCAGUGGAAUUCCUGGUGUAGCGGUGGAAUGCGUAAAUAUCAGGAAGAACACCCGUGGCGAAGGCUGCUGCCUGGAACGUUACUGACGCUGAGGCGCGAAAGCUAGGGGAGCGAACGGGAUUAGAUACCCCAGUAGUCC
Molecule: ribosomal RNA, 274 nt
Filed under: uncultured bacterium
Lineage: Bacteria
Description: partial 16S ribosomal RNA
Rfam family: Bacterial small subunit ribosomal RNA
Source: RNAcentral